Molecule: non-coding RNA, 519 nt
Organism: Labrus bergylta (ballan wrasse)
Lineage: Eukaryota; Metazoa; Chordata; Actinopteri; Labriformes; Labridae
Source: RefSeq, a predicted model, not a curated record
UUUUGAAGGACAGUGGAGUUGGAAGUCAGAUUGUUACCCAUCACCAUCCUGACAAUAAACAGGAAGUGGACUCUAAUGAUGAUGACUUCAGCCCUAUCUGGCCCUGACAGCUGGCUUGUUUGUUUCUCCUGGUUCAUGAUACCUGAACAUCGUCACUGCUUUACAGGAGGUGGAGGUCGGAGCAGGCCGUGCAUGAAUGAGGACGGCGGUGGUUGAGGGACAACACAGUCCGAUGGUGGUGGCUGGGCAUCAGGGAAAUGUAGAAAUGAAACCAAGAAACCAGUUGCAUCUUGCAACCAACUUUAAUCCAGCAGAGAUCUUUAAAACCAAGUGUCUGUCCCAGACCAACAGCAACACUUGACAUAUUUGCUGUUAGACAUGUACCUACUCAUGUGGGAACUUUUUGUUCAUCUAAUCCCAGCACAUUCAUACAUCCCGAUGUUAAAUCCUUCGUUCGGGAUCCUUUUAGCAACUGUUCAUUUGAUACCACUUACUCUAAUAAAUAUUUGCGUACAUUCA